GACGAACGCUGGCGGCGUGCUUAACACAUGCAAGUCGAACGAUGAAGAAGAGAAACGCGAACUUCGGUUCAACUUUCACUUCGGAUUAGUGGCAGACGGGUGAGUAACGCGUGAGCAACCUACCUCUUACAAAGGGAUAGCCUCGGGAAACCGUGAUUAAUACCAUAUGACACAUUCAUAAGGCAUCUUAAGAAUGUUAAAGCUACGGCGGUAAGAGAUGGGCUCGCGUCCCAUUAGCUAGUUGGUGAGGUAACGGCCCACCAAGGCGACGAUGGGUAACCGGCCUGAGAGGGUGAACGGUCACAUUGGAACUGAGACACGGUCCAAACUCCUACGGGAGGCAGCAGUGGGGAAUAUUGCACAAUGGAGGGAACUCUGAUGCAGCGACGCCGCGUGAGCGAUGAAGGAAUUCGUUUCGUAAAGCUCUGUUCUAUGGGAAGAAAAGGACUGUACCAUAGGAGAAAGCACCGGCUAAAUACGUG
This 482-nucleotide ribosomal RNA is filed under the name uncultured bacterium. Its description in RNAcentral is "partial 16S ribosomal RNA". It matches the Rfam family "Bacterial small subunit ribosomal RNA", at positions 28 to 507 of the family's 1533-position model. The record is from RNAcentral.